GAUGAACGCUGGCGGCGUGCCUAAUACAUGCAAGUCGAGCGAACGGACGAGAAGCUUGCUUCUCUGAUGUUAGCGGCGGACGGGUGAGUAACACGUGGAUAACCUACCUAUAAGACUGGGAUAACUUCGGGAAACCGGAGCUAAUACCGGAUAAUAUUUUGAACCGCAUGGUUCAAAAGUGAAAGACGGUCUUGCUGUCACUUAUAGAUGGAUCCGCGCUGCAUUAGCUAGUUGGUAAGGUAACGGCUUACCAAGGCAACGAUGCAUAGCCGACCUGAGAGGGUGAUCGGCCACACUGGAACUGAGACACGGUCCAGACUCCUACGGGAGGCAGCAGGAGGGAAUCUGCCGCAAUGGGCGAAAGCCUGACGGAGCAACGCCGCGUGAGUGAUGAAGGUCUUCGGAUCGUAAAACUCUGUUAUUAGGGAAGAACAUAUGUGUAAGUAACUGUGCACAUCUUGACGGUACCUAAUCAGAAAGCCACGGCUAACUACGU
RNAcentral lists this ribosomal RNA (496 nucleotides) under uncultured bacterium. RNAcentral describes it as "partial 16S ribosomal RNA". It matches the Rfam family "Bacterial small subunit ribosomal RNA", at positions 28 to 506 of the family's 1533-position model. The record is from RNAcentral.